Etheostoma cragini (Arkansas darter) is the source of this 174-nucleotide long non-coding RNA. RefSeq lists it as uncharacterized. The transcript has 3 exons. NCBI's taxonomy places the organism in Eukaryota, Metazoa, Chordata, Actinopteri, Perciformes, Percidae. The record is from RefSeq and is a predicted model, not a curated record.
GUUUGGAUAUUCCAAACAAGGCCUUUUUCCGAAUAUAGCAUUUUCCGUUUAAGACGUGAUAUUCCGGUAUUAUUCAGGUUUUAGAGGCAUUCUUUGGACAUGUCUACAGUGCAUUGAGAAUAUGCGUCUCAAUCUGUGUUUCACCACAGUUAAUGCCCAUUUACAGCUUAUGGU